CCCGCAGGCUGCGUCGGGCGGCUGGGUGGGUUGCAUCACGCUCCUCGGUUAUAUAGCGGGCCCAGGGCUGCCAGCGGGGAGGGGUCGGGAAUGCGGAACCGGCCGGGCUGCCAGCGCCAGACGUCAGGAGCAGGAGGAAUGGGAGGGGGAGCAGGAGGAGGAGGACGGGCCAGGCCGGGGGCGGAGUUGUUGUUGUCCUCCUUGUAAUAUUUGUAUCCCGCUUUGAUUGCUGUGGCAGAAGCUGGAUCUACACAACCUUAUAUCCCAGGAUCUUAUCUGGCAGUGGACACUCGCCCUUCCACACAGCCUUAUAAUCCAGAAUAUCAAGGCAGAAUAACCCACAAUAUCUGCUUUGAACUGGGUUAUCUGAGUUCACACUGCCAUAUAUCCCAGCUCAAAGCAGAUAGUGUCAGCAGCACCAUAAUUUUUUCCUCUGUUCGGUUAUAUGGCUGUGUGGAAAGGCCCCUGUGAGUUAUCCCAACUCACAUUCUCUCAGCUUUAAAGGAAGGCAAACCACAUCCAAAUAAAUAUUGCCAAGAAAAUCCCAUGCUAACUUGCCAUAAAUUGGAAAUGACUUGAAGGCACACAGCAGCAACAAAAUCUUCAUUCUCUAUAUAGAAUCAGAAUCUGCCUAGAAUCAGAAUCUGCCUACCUACCUGUCUAAGCUACCUUCCUUUCAUUUUUUCAUUCCUUCCCUCACUCAUCUUUCUUUCUUUCCUUCCUUCCUCUCUCCCUUCAUACCCCUCCCCUGCAUUAAUUUUUUUGUUGAAGAGUUAAAUGAAGAGAGAGCAAAUAGGCUGCUGCUUGUUUUGUCCCUACUCGAGCUGUGAGGGGAUCUCUCUGAGGCGGACAGUGCAACCACUGUGGUGUUGCCGCAGUAAGGGAGGUGAACCGGGAGCUGAGAGGUGAAGGUCCUUGUUUAACAGCUUUCCAUUUGUUUACCAAAAAAAUAUUAUUCCAUCAUAAAAAUUCCCAAAAUAGUUCCCUUCUUGACAGACUGACUGGCAGCUGUCCAGCUCUUGCAGAGCCUUGCUAAAAUCAAAGGAAGAAAGAGCUAAUCUGGUACCAAAUGCCCAGAAAAGCCUGCACGUUCUGAACACUCUUAUUCAAUGGAUUAGUGCAUAGUUGAGUAGUG
RNAcentral lists this long non-coding RNA (1135 nucleotides) under Anolis carolinensis (green anole). RNAcentral's name for it is "lncRNA (ENSACAG00000040400.1)". The record is from RNAcentral. Lineage: Eukaryota; Metazoa; Chordata; Lepidosauria; Squamata; Anolidae.